AAAAGAUGUUUUUAUUUGUAUGCACCACAUAAGUUUUGUAUGAAUAAAAUGGGAUUUGUAGAUGUAAAAAUUAAACAAUCCAAAUUAAAUCUCUUCAAGGGGGCCCUUUAUGGUACUAGAAAAGUCACAGAAUCAGCUGUGUUCGCACCUUAUAUAUGUACAAUGCUAUGAAUGUAUUUACUAUAGAGGCGAGACAGACGGAACAGUUCAUUUUGGAUUGAGUUUUUGGCAAAGAUUAACGGCCGAUAUCCUUCUUUCCUCCUUGGGCUACAAUCAAUGUGAAGGGUAAAAUGGGUUUUUUUUCGUCUGAAACACGAACGGC
RNAcentral lists this long non-coding RNA (322 nucleotides) under Mytilus galloprovincialis (Mediterranean mussel). The record is from RNAcentral. Lineage: Eukaryota; Metazoa; Mollusca; Bivalvia; Mytilida; Mytilidae.